UACGUAGGGGGCAAGCGUUGUCCGGAUUUAUUGGGCGUAAAGAGCUCGUAGGUGGUUUGGUAAGUCGGAUGUGAAAUCUCCAGGCUCAACCUGGAGGGGUCAUUCGAUACUGCCAUGACUAGAGGUCGGUAGGGGAGUGUGGAAUUCCUGGUGGAGCGGUGAAAUGCGCAGAUAUCAGGAGGAACACCAAUGGCGAAGGCAGCUCGCUGGGACGUGACUGACGCUGAGACGCGAAAGCGUGGGGAGCAAACAGG
Molecule: ribosomal RNA, 254 nt
Filed under: uncultured bacterium
Lineage: Bacteria
Description: partial 16S ribosomal RNA
Rfam family: Bacterial small subunit ribosomal RNA
Source: RNAcentral